Molecule: unclassified non-coding RNA, 391 nt
Filed under: soil metagenome
Description: partial contains 5.8S ribosomal RNA, internal transcribed spacer 2, and large subunit ribosomal RNA
Rfam family: 5.8S ribosomal RNA (bases 1-122)
Source: RNAcentral
GAUGAAGAACGUAGCGAAAUGCGAUACUUGGUGUGAAUUGCAGAAUCCCGUGAACCAUCGAGUCUUUGAACGCAAGUUGCGCCCGAAGCCACUAGGCCGAGGGCACGCCUGCCUGGGCGUCACACGCCGUUGCCCCCCCAUCUACUCCUUCGGGAUUGCGGGGGGGCGGAUGAUGGCCUCCCGUGCGCCUAGCCGCGCGGUUGGCAUAAAUACCAAGUCCUCGGCGACGCACGCCACGACAAUCGGUGGUUGCGAAACCUCGGUUGCCCGUCGUGUGCGUUCGUCGCGCAUCGAGGGCUCGAAAAAAUGCUCGGCUCCGGCUGGGCUUUCAACGCGACCCCAGGUCAGGCGGGGUUACCCGCUGAAAUUAAGCAUAUCAAUAAGCGGAGGA